AGUGAACGCUGGCGGUAGGCCUAACACAUGCAAGUCGAACGGCAGCACAGUAAAAGCUUGCUCUUACGGGUGGCGAGUGGCGGACGGGUGAGGAAUACAUCGGAAUCUACUUUUUCGUGGGGGAUAACGUAGGGAAACUUACGCUAAUACCUCAUACGACCUACGGGUGAAAGCAGGGGAUCUUCGGACCUUGCGCGAUUGAAUGAGCCGAUGUCGGAUUAGCUAGUUGGCGGGGUAAAGGCCCACCAAGGCGACGAUCCGUAGCUGGUCUGAGAGGAUGAUCAGCCACACUGGAACUGAGACACGGUCCAGACUCCUACGGGAGGCAGCAGUGGGGAAUAUUGGACAAUGGGCGCAAGCCUGAUCCAGCCAUACCGCGUGGGUGAAGAAGGCCUUCGGGUUUUAAAGCCCUUUUGUUGGGAAAGAAAAGCAGCAGGUUAAUACCCCGCUGUUCUGACGGUACCCAAAGAAUAAGCACCGGCUAACUUCGUG
RNAcentral lists this ribosomal RNA (492 nucleotides) under uncultured bacterium. RNAcentral describes it as "partial 16S ribosomal RNA". It matches the Rfam family "Bacterial small subunit ribosomal RNA", at positions 29 to 507 of the family's 1533-position model. The record is from RNAcentral.